UCCAAAAAAGGUGGGCACUCUUGAUAACUGCAGUUGUUGGUGUGCAAACUCUCUGUGAGUCUCCAGUCACACACGGGUCCAGAUCGAAGAGCAGUGACUGAUAAGAAGAAACUCUGCCUAACAUCAGAGAUGCUGGCUCUCCUGCCAAAAAGAGGAAAAUGUCAGCGUUGGACCAGCUGUUUGGAAGAAGUGAGGGCGGCAGCUACAUCUGUAAGAGACAAAACCAGUGAAGAAGUCAAGCGGUACAGCAUGAUCCGGUGGAAAGAGCAGUGGAAAAAGCUGCAAGACUUCCACUGCUGUCUUCUCUCGCUACAUGAUACCUCUGCAUCCCGGCCACCAGUGUGGCAUCAGAAUGGGUGUUCAGUACUGCGGGAGAUAUUGUUUCCAUAAAUCGAAGUCUACUCAAACAUGAGCACGUGGAUCAGUUGAUUUUCCUUAAGAGAAAUCUGCACUCCAAAAGAACAGUGGACAGUGAAGAUGAAUAAGAGACCGUCUGGGAAAAUGCACAGGCAUACUGUAGGUGAACUACUUUAACUGUUGUGUGAAGUAAAUGAUUGUUGACUUGUCAGUCAAACUUAACUGCCAUGUGAGAAUAUAAAUGUAGAGCAGCACUUUGGAUCAGAUUACCUUUUCCAGGUCAAAAAGCAGCAUUUUGAUUUAUUUAUUUUCUUUAAUGUUUUACAUAAAGCUGACUGUGUGUAAAGCUUUGUUGAGAUAAGAAUGUGGUUUCUGCUUUGUCCUUCCACUCCGGUUCCCCAGGCCUGAGGCAACAUUUUGAGACGACCACCAGGGGUCA
Molecule: long non-coding RNA, 796 nt
Organism: Melanotaenia boesemani (Boeseman's rainbowfish)
Lineage: Eukaryota; Metazoa; Chordata; Actinopteri; Atheriniformes; Melanotaeniidae
Exons: 2
Source: RefSeq, a predicted model, not a curated record